RNAcentral lists this ribosomal RNA (446 nucleotides) under uncultured bacterium. RNAcentral describes it as "bacterial SSU rRNA". It matches the Rfam family "Bacterial small subunit ribosomal RNA", at positions 331 to 794 of the family's 1533-position model. The record is from RNAcentral.
CCAGACUCCUACGGGAGGCAGCAGUGGGGGAUAUUGCACAAUGGGGGAAACCCUGAUGCAGCGACGCCGCGUGGGUGAAGAAGCGCCUCGGCGCGUAAAGCCCUGUCAGCAGGGAAGAAAAUGACGGUACCUGAAGAAGAAGCCCCGGCUAACUACGUGCCAGCAGCCGCGGUAAUACGUAGGGGGCAAGCGUUAUCCGGAUUUACUGGGUGUAAAGGGGGCGCAGACGGCGAUGCAAGCCAGGAGUGAAAGCCCGCGGCUCAACCGCGGAACUGCUUUGGAAACUUUUCGGCUAGAGUACCGGAGAGGUAAGCGGAAUUCCUAGUGUAGCGGUGAAAUGCGUAGAUAUUAGGAGGAACACCAGUGGCGAAGGCGGCUUGCUGGACGGUAACUGACGUUGAGGCUCGAAAGCGUGGGGAGCAAACAGGAUUAGAUACCCGCGUAAA